AGGGCGAUUUUUCUAUAACUGAAGCCAAAUCAUAGUUGGUACCCUUAAUGGAAGGAUACUUGGAAACGAUCAUGUUAAGGAGAGAACCGUCUCCCCCUCCCACGUCCACCAAGGACUUUAGACCUUGAAAACCAUCAUAUAUGUCCAGAAUUCUAUGCAUCAGUAGAGUGUUAAAGUCUCUCAUGGAGCCCUUGAAUUUUUCACCAAAUCUCAUAUCUUUUCCCAUGUACUCCAUAACCCUCAUCCCGUGUGCCUUUUCAAAUGUACCACCUCCUUCAACAACUGCAUCUUUUAAGUGGUACCAAGUAUCCAGGAUGACUUUGUCGUGUAUCGUAGCUAGAAAGGGAGCCAAGCAUCCCCCAUCUUGGUCCUUGAUGAAGUAUUUGGCCACAGGUGCUAAACCAUAUAACCUAUUAAGCUGUCCAUCUUGGGUGCUGAAGGUUACAGAGCAAGUGAGAAUAGAAUUGCUAGCGAGAAGGAGGAGGAUACGGUCUAGCAAAAGGGGGGCCAUCUGGGCUGUUGGGGCAGCAAUCUGGGAGGCAAUUUGCGAAGAGGAAAGCAGGACGCCGGGACCAGCUUUCUCUAUAAUCUCAAACACGCCUAGAUCUGUUGCUGCCUUCAGGGCCAUGGGCAGUACUGAUGCACUGGCAAGUUGCAUGGCAUACUGGCAGUGGUAUUCUUCUUCUUCAACAUUGGUAGCUGUAGAGGUUGCCAUUUGGUUUUCCUUU
This 728-nucleotide unclassified non-coding RNA is filed under the name Hevea brasiliensis (rubber tree). The record is from RNAcentral. Lineage: Eukaryota; Viridiplantae; Streptophyta; Magnoliopsida; Malpighiales; Euphorbiaceae.